Cricetulus griseus (Chinese hamster) is the source of this 292-nucleotide non-coding RNA. The record is from Rfam. NCBI's taxonomy places the organism in Eukaryota, Metazoa, Chordata, Mammalia, Rodentia, Cricetidae.
GGAUAUGAAGGCAAUUUGUGACAUCAGCCAAUUAGUCACCAAAGUUGAUUCAGCUGAUCUGGCUAACUAGAUAUGUGUACCUGUUUUCUCCAACUAUCCAUGUGCACAUCUCCCACAUUUUUAUGUUCUGUCAAGAAGCACAACCUUCCUUGACAGAGAACAAUAUAUAAGUAGCCCGCUCCUUCUGUUGUAACCUCCAAGUAAGUUAAUCAUAUGAGAAAAGGCAAAAUGUGUAUUUUCUUUCAUUAUCUAAUCCGUGACUAGAGCCUAAAUACUAGUAUUGGCUUAUAGU